CAAGUCGAGGGGCAGCGGAGCGGAGUGCUUGCACUCUGCUGCCGGCGACCGGCGCACGGGUGAGUAACACGUAUGCAACCUGCCCCGGAGCGGGGGAUAACCCGGCGAAAGCCGGACUAAUACCGCGUAUAUAUCCAGGAGGCAUCUUCUGGAUAGGAAAGGACUUCGGUCCGCUCCGGGAUGGGCAUGCGGCGCAUUAGGCAGACGGCGGGGUAACGGCCCACCGUACCGACGAUGCGUAGGGGUUCUGAGAGGAAGGCCCCCCACACUGGUACUGAGACACGGACCAGACUCCUACGGGAGGCAGCAGUGAGGAAUAUUGGUCAAUGGGCGAGAGCCUGAACCAGCCAAGCCGCGUGAGGGAAGAAGGCGCUCAGCGUCGUAAACCUCUUUAGCCGGGGGACAAAACCUCCUCGCGAAGGAGGCUUGAGAGUACCCGGAGAAUAAGCAUCGGCUAACUCCGUGCCAGCAGCCGCGGUAAUACGGAGGAUGCGAGCGUUAUCCGGAUUUAUUGGGUUUAAAGGGUGCGCAGGCGGACAUUCAAGUCUGCGGUCAAAUUCCGGGGCUCAACCCCGGCCAGCCGUGGAAACUGAAUGACUUGAGUGGGCGAGAGGUAUGCGGAAUGCGCGGUGUA
RNAcentral lists this ribosomal RNA (634 nucleotides) under uncultured bacterium. RNAcentral's name for it is "bacterial SSU rRNA". It matches the Rfam family "Bacterial small subunit ribosomal RNA", at positions 58 to 677 of the family's 1533-position model. The record is from RNAcentral.